RNAcentral lists this ribosomal RNA (351 nucleotides) under Triticum aestivum (bread wheat). Its description in RNAcentral is "partial small subunit ribosomal RNA". The stretch from base 241 to 350 matches the Rfam family "MIR1120/MIR1122 microRNA precursor family". Lineage: Eukaryota; Viridiplantae; Streptophyta; Magnoliopsida; Poales; Poaceae. The record is from RNAcentral.
AUGUGCACCUGUCUACCUAUGUCCCUGGUGAUCCAAGAAACAAUCGAAGACUAUGAUGGGCGCCUCGGUGCCGGCAUCAUUCAGAAGGUGACUCUAGAAGUAAUGCGGAAGCAAUCCGAAAGUGCAACUUACAUAUGUGGAAAUGAAAUUGGAAAAACAUCGAGGGAAGUUGCAAAAGUAAUGAAGCGGCGUACUGUCAAGAGCACUCUCUGUAAUGAGAGAAGUUUGCGAAGUCAUUGCAUGGUACUCCUCCGUUCGGAAUUACUUGUCUCGAAAAUGGAUGUAUGUAGAACUAAAAUACAUCUAGAUACAUCCAUUUCUGCGACAAGUAAUUCCGAACGGAGGGAGUAG